Molecule: ribosomal RNA, 253 nt
Filed under: uncultured bacterium
Lineage: Bacteria
Description: partial 16S ribosomal RNA
Rfam family: Bacterial small subunit ribosomal RNA
Source: RNAcentral
UACGUAGGUGGCAAGCGUUGUCCGGAUUUACUGGGUGUAAAGGGCGUGUAGCCGGGCUGACAAGUCAGAUGUGAAAUCCGGGGGCUCAACCCCCGAACUGCAUUUGAAACUGUUGGUCUUGAGUAUCGGAGAGGCAGGCGGAAUUCCUAGUGUAGCGGUGAAAUGCGUAGAUAUUAGGAGGAACACCAGUGGCGAAGGCGGCUUUCUGGACUGAAACUGACGCUGAGGCACGAAAGCGUGGGGAGCGAACAGG